UUCGCCCUUAGAGUUUGAUCCUGGCUCAGGACGAACGCUGGCGGCGCGCCUAACACAUGCAAGUCGAACGAGCGAGAGAGAGCUUGCUUUCUCAAGCGAGUGGCGAACGGGUGAGUAACGCGUGAGGAACCUGCCUCAAAGAGGGGGACAACAGUUGGAAACGACUGCUAAUACCGCAUAAGCCCACAGGUCGGCAUCGACCAGAGGGAAAAGGAGCAAUCCGCUUUGAGAUGGCCUCGCGUCCGAUUAGCUAGUUGGUGAGGUAACGGCCCACCAAGGCAACGAUCGGUAGCCGGACUGAGAGGUUGAACGGCCACAUUGGGACUGAGACACGGCCCAGACUCCUACGGGAGGCAGCAGUGGGGAAUAUUGCACAAUGGGGGAAACCCUGAUGCAGCGACGCCGCGUGGAGGAAGAAGGUCUUCGGAUUGUAAACUCCUGUUGUUGAGGAAGAUAAUGACGGUACUCAACAAGGAAGUGACGGCUAACUACGUGCCAGCAGCCGCGGUAAAACGUAGGUCACAAGCGUUGUCCGGAAUUACUGGGUGUAAAGGGAGCGCAGGCGGGAAGACAAGUUGGAAGUGAAAUCUAUGGGCUCAACCCAUAAACUGCUUUCAAAACUGUUUUUCUUGAGUAGUGCAGAGGUAGGCGGAAUUCCCGGUGUAGCGGUGGAAUGCGUAGAUAUCGGGAAGAACACCAGUGGCGAAGGGCGGCCCUAUUGGGGCACCAAAUGACGCUGAGGCUUCGAAAAGUGUGGGUAGCAAACAGGAUUUAGAUACCCUGGUAGUCCACACCCGUAAAACGAUGAUUACUAGGGGUUGGGAGGAUUGACCCCCUUCAGUGCCGCAGUUAACACAAUAAGUAAUCCACCUGGGGAGUACGACCGCAAGGUUGAAACUCAAAGGAAUUGACGGGGGCCCGCACAAGCAGUGGAGUAUGUGGUUUAAUUCGACGCAACGCGAAGAACCUUACCAAGUCUUGACAUCCUGCGACGAUGCUGGAAACAGUAUUUUCCUUCGGGACGCAGAGACAGGUGGUGCAUGGUUGUCGUCAGCUCGUGUCGUGAGAUGUUGGGUUAAGUCCCGCAACGAGCGCAACCCUUACUGUCAGUUACUACGCAAGAGGACUCUGGCAGGACUGCCGUUGACAAAACGGAGGAAGGUGGGGAUGACGUCAAAUCAUCAUGCCCUUUAUGACUUGGGCUACACACGUACUACAAUGGCGUUAAACAAAGAGAAGCAAGACCGCGAGGUGGAGCAAAACUCAGAAACAACGUCCCAGUUCGGACUGCAGGCUGCAACUCGCCUGCACGAAGUCGGAAUUGCUAGUAAUCGCAGAUCAGCAUGCUGCGGUGAAUACGUUCCCGGGCCUUGCACACACCGCCCGUCA
Molecule: ribosomal RNA, 1389 nt
Filed under: uncultured bacterium
Lineage: Bacteria
Description: 16S ribosomal RNA
Rfam family: Bacterial small subunit ribosomal RNA
Source: RNAcentral